CUAUCUGCUAUGAAGAGGAGAGUAAAUAUGCUGUGAAGUUUUAGCGAGCCGGUGAUGGUGAAAGUCCGGUACGGAGCACAUAUUGAAGAACACCUCUGAGCUUCUAACCGAAAUCCUAUGGAAAGUAGGCUUAGACGGAUUUCCACCGUUAUUGGGAUAGUGCAUCGGUUAUAGCCUGUGCAUGAAAGAGUGAACGUUUUACGUUAAUUAGGGUGGCACCACGGCAGCCCCGUCCCUUGU
This is a non-coding RNA of Geosporobacter subterraneus DSM 17957, 240 nucleotides long. The record is from Rfam. Lineage: Bacteria; Bacillati; Bacillota; Clostridia; Peptostreptococcales; Thermotaleaceae.